GGUGGUUCUCGGGUGACACAUUCUGGAAUCGGGCUCCCUCCUCUCUGAUUCCAGGUGUGUCACCCAAGAUCCGCA
Molecule: non-coding RNA, 75 nt
Organism: Myotis lucifugus (little brown bat)
Lineage: Eukaryota; Metazoa; Chordata; Mammalia; Chiroptera; Vespertilionidae
Source: Rfam